RNAcentral lists this ribosomal RNA (391 nucleotides) under uncultured eukaryote. RNAcentral describes it as "partial 18S ribosomal RNA". It matches the Rfam family "Eukaryotic small subunit ribosomal RNA", at positions 592 to 976 of the family's 1831-position model. The record is from RNAcentral.
CAAUAGCGUAUAUUAAAGUUGUUGCAGUUAAAAAGCUCGUAGUUGGAUUUCUGUGAGAGUGCCGGUGUCGGCUGAUGCUUGUACGCAGGCGCUCUUACAUCCUUCUGUUAACUGUUCUUGGCAUUUUAUUGCUGGUUCAGGGCUCAGAUAUUUUACCUUGAGAAAAUUAGAGUGUUUCAGGCAGGCUUAUGCCGGAAUACAUUAGCAUGGAAUAAUGGAACAGGACCUGUGCGUCUCUCGGGGCGCCGGUCUCCGUUGUUGGUUUCGGGGACUAAUGUAAUGAUUAUUAGGGAUAGUUGGGGGCAUUAGUAUUUAAUAGUCAGAGGUGAAAUUCUCGGAUUUGUUAAAGACUAACUUAUGCGAAAGCAUUUGCCAAGGAUGUUUUCAUUAA